AAAGUCACACUCUUCAAUGAAAAAUCUAAUCAAAAUUGAUGCUCAACCAACCAAUCUAUUCCCAAAAUUAAAUCGAAUUCAUUAAAAGGAAGAUCCAUAAAAUUGACAAGAAACACCUCUCCAUGAACCUCUAUAGGGCAUCUUUUAUAAAUUCUAUUCACAAGUGUUGAGGAUUCUAAGGGACUAACUAUAGUUACAGUGGUUUC
Molecule: long non-coding RNA, 206 nt
Filed under: Gossypium barbadense (sea-island cotton)
Lineage: Eukaryota; Viridiplantae; Streptophyta; Magnoliopsida; Malvales; Malvaceae
Description: long non-coding RNA (GBAR_LNC019018)
Source: RNAcentral